GCCAGGGUAGCUCAGUCGGUGAGAGCGCGGCAUUCAUAACGCCGAGGUCGAGGGUCCGAGUCCCUCCCCUGGCACAA
Molecule: transfer RNA, 77 nt
Filed under: Candidatus Woesebacteria bacterium RIFOXYC1_FULL_41_14
Lineage: Bacteria; Candidatus Woeseibacteriota
Also listed under: 1 other name
Description: tRNA-Met
Rfam family: tRNA
About the family: Transfer RNA (tRNA) molecules are approximately 80 nucleotides in length. Their secondary structure includes four short double-helical elements and three loops (D, anti-codon, and T loops).
Source: RNAcentral